AUUUUGUGAUUGCAUUAUUAUUUGAUAGCGUGUUGGCUGUUUUCAACAUUAUUUUUAAAUAGGACUUCUACCUGGCUGUCGACGUAUUCAAAAUCUCUUAAAACCUAAGAUGCCUUGUCAUCAUCUAUAAAUGUCUAACGUGGUCAACUUUCACCUGCAGGUAUAAUAUAAGAGUGCGGUAAGUUCAGUUCGUUGCCAGACAGCGUUCCGAACGAAAGUCUCUUAGUAAACUCGCAGCCACUAUGUAAAUAGUUUGAAAGUAAAUGAUCAAUAACGAGAGACUUGGAAGAUGAAUUUUUAUUAUUCGCUGCGCAGUCCUACCAGACGGAGCGCAACAGUUAAUGUUGCUGGCCCUGCUGGCCUCAUCGUUCGUCCAAGUUUUAUUAUUUUCACGAUUCUGUAGCGAUUAGUCGCUACUCGUUUUAUUGGCUCGAUGAACAGAUGAUGUGUGAUAUUGAACGUCCAGUAACAUCCAGUCUAGAAGCUCCAGCAGCGAUUUCGGCAGAAACCAAAUUUUAACAACGUCAUGGCGGAUCGGUGAUUUCAACGUACAGCACUAAAUUUCCCAUAAUUAAACAAGCGCAAUGAUUCAACACAACAAAUGCACAAUGCCUUCCUUUUUUCUCCCCCCAGAAGAAUCACCCUGCUGUUUGAAACGUUGCUGAUAGCCGUCUUAUUAUUCAGACUAGCAUUUAAUUCAUGUUCAGGUUUUUAGUUCUAGUAAAUUUUGGGUUAAUAUCGCGGGUGACUGGUUUACAUUUCCUGUUUUUAAACUCGGUUUCAAUUUUUAACUAGUGAUUCAGAAUUGGUGAUUGGUAUUCAUUUGGUUUUGAGAAAGAGCUUGAAUAAUACUGUAAUUAAAAAUAGACAGCAUAAUAUUAAAGGCAUCUCUAUAGCACAUAAAACGUACACACGGGUCACGCAAUUUUGGGUUAUUUUUGAUCGCCUCUCCCCCCAGUCGUUACAGGACGUCACAAAAAGUAUCCCUCCCCUAAACUGACAAAAUAUUUUUCCGGCCUACCCCCCAAUAUUCAAAUUACCAUU
Molecule: long non-coding RNA, 1044 nt
Organism: Daphnia pulex (common water flea)
Lineage: Eukaryota; Metazoa; Arthropoda; Branchiopoda; Diplostraca; Daphniidae
Exons: 2
Source: RefSeq, a predicted model, not a curated record